GGAUCAUUACAGAGUUGCAAAACUCCCCAAACCAUUGUGAACCUUACCUUCUACCGUUGCUUCGGCGGGCGGGCCACAGCGCCCCCCGGGCCCCCUCGGGGGCGCCCGCCGGAGGAUAACCGAACUCUUGAUAUUCAUGGCCUCUCUGAGUCUUCUGUACUGAAUAAGUCAAAACUUUCAACAACGGAUCUCUUGGUUCUGGCAUCGAUGAAGAACGCAGCGAAAUGCGAUAAGUAAUGUGAAUUGCAGAAUUCAGUGAAUCAUCGAAUCUUUGAACGCACAUUGCGCCCGCCAGUAUUCUGGCGGGCAUGCCUGUUCGAGCGUCAUUUCAACCAUCAAGCCCCCGGCUUGUGUUGGGGACCUGCGGCUGCCCGCAGGCCCUGAAAACCAGUGGCGGGCUCGCUGUCACACCGAGCGUAGUAGCAACACCUCGCUCAGGGCGUGCUGCGGGUUCCGGCCGUUAAAAGCCUUUCACACCCAAGGUUGACCUCGGAUCAGGUAGGAAGACCCGCUGAACUUAAGCAUAUCAAUAAGCGGAGG
RNAcentral lists this ribosomal RNA (540 nucleotides) under Chaetomium sp. 4 JAS-2013. Its description in RNAcentral is "eukaryotic LSU rRNA". The stretch from base 173 to 326 matches the Rfam family "5.8S ribosomal RNA". The record is from RNAcentral. Lineage: Eukaryota; Fungi; Ascomycota; Sordariomycetes; Sordariales; Chaetomiaceae.